GGAUAUUGUAAUUCAUGGUUGAAUAGAUUAAUUGCAAAUUAAUUUGUAUAUAGAGUUCGAUUCUCUCAAUAUUCU
Molecule: transfer RNA, 75 nt
Filed under: Metschnikowia bicuspidata
Lineage: Eukaryota; Fungi; Ascomycota; Pichiomycetes; Serinales; Metschnikowiaceae
Description: tRNA-Cys
Source: RNAcentral